RNAcentral lists this small RNA (261 nucleotides) under Cryptococcus neoformans H99. RNAcentral describes it as "Cryptococcus neoformans var. grubii H99 hypothetical RNA". Lineage: Eukaryota; Fungi; Basidiomycota; Tremellomycetes; Tremellales; Cryptococcaceae. The record is from RNAcentral.
CUUCGCUAUUGCCAGGCGCCCAUCUUCAAUGUUUAUUUCCUUUCCGAGAGGACUUAGUAUACGUUUGUUUUCUUUCAACUGUUUUAUGGGCCAGAUUCCCUUGCUCUCUGCCCUUCCUUGUGCUUGGUGGCUCCCGACUCGUACUCAUAUAUAUGAUAACUUGAAAGCUGCAGCUAUAUGUUUGUUAUGUGUUAAGUUACAUAGACUAGAAACACUUCGGCGUUAAAGCUCGACAUAUAACUUCAAUGCAAAUGAUCUCUG